Molecule: ribosomal RNA, 511 nt
Filed under: Chrysosporium vallenarense
Lineage: Eukaryota; Fungi; Ascomycota; Eurotiomycetes; Onygenales; Onygenaceae
Description: eukaryotic LSU rRNA
Rfam family: Eukaryotic large subunit ribosomal RNA
Source: RNAcentral
GCGAGUGAAGCGGCAAAAGCUCAAAUUUGAAAUCUGGCUCCUUUAGGGGUCCGAGUUGUAAUUUGUAGAGGAUGCUUCGGGAGCGGCCACGGCUUAAGUGCCUUGGAACAGGACGUCAUAGAGGGUGAGAAUCCCGUCUUGAGUCGUUGGUCCGCGCCCAUGUGAAGCUCCUUCGACGAGUCGAGUUGUUUGGGAAUGCAGCUCUAAGCGGGUGGUAAAUUUCAUCUAAAGCUAAAUAUUGGCCGGAGACCGAUAGCGCACAAGUAGAGUGAUCGAAAGGUUAAAAGCACCUUGAAAAGGGAGUUAAACAGCACGUGAAAUUGUUGAAAGGGAAGCGCUUGCGGCCAGACUCAGAUACAGGGUUCAGCGGGUGCGUGUCACCUGUGCAUUCUCUGUUUUCUGGGCCAGCAUCAGUUUUGACGGCCGGUCAAAGGCCUCUGGAAUGUGUCGUCUUUCGGGACGUCUUAUAGCCAGGGGUGCAAUGCGGCCUGUUGGGACUGAGGAACGCGCU